RNAcentral lists this ribosomal RNA (695 nucleotides) under uncultured bacterium. RNAcentral's name for it is "bacterial SSU rRNA". It matches the Rfam family "Bacterial small subunit ribosomal RNA", at positions 32 to 715 of the family's 1533-position model. The record is from RNAcentral.
AACGCUAGCUACAGGCUUAACACAUGCAAGUCGAGGGGCAGCAUUUUAGUUUGCUUGCAAACUGAAGAUGGCGACCGGCGCACGGGUGAGUAACACGUAUCCAACCUGCCGAUAACUCUGGAAUAGCCUUUCGAAAGAAAGAUUAAUACCGGAUGGCAUACGAAUAUCGCAUGAUAUUUUUAUUAAAGAAUUUCGGUUAUCGAUGGGGAUGCGUUCCAUUAGUUUGUUGGCGGGGUAACGGCCCACCAAGACAACGAUGGAUAGGGGUUCUGAGAGGAAGGUCCCCCACAUUGGAACUGAGACACGGUCCAAACUCCUACGGGAGGCAGCAGUGAGGAAUAUUGGUCAAUGGGCGAGAGCCUGAACCAGCCAAGUAGCGUGAAGGAUGAAGGCUCUAUGGAUCGUAAACUUCUUUUAUAUGGGAAUAAAGUUUUCCACGUGUGGAAUUUUGUAUGUACCAUAUGAAUAAGGAUCGGCUAACUCCGUGCCAGCAGCCGCGGUAAUACGGAGGAUCCGAGCGUUAUCCGGAUUUAUUGGGUUUAAAGGGAGCGUAGGUGGAUUGUUAAGUCAGUUGUGAAAGUUUGCGGCUCAACCGUAAAAUUGCAGUUGAAACUGGCAGUCUUGAGUACAGUAGAGGUGGGCGGAAUUCGUGGUGUAGCGGUGAAAUGCUUAGAUAUCACGAAGAACUCCGAUUG